Acanthosepion pharaonis is the source of this 114-nucleotide non-coding RNA. The record is from the annotation of a GenBank genome assembly. Lineage: Eukaryota; Metazoa; Mollusca; Cephalopoda; Sepiida; Sepiidae.
UUACGGCCAUAUCAUACUGAAACACCAGCUCUCGUAUGAUCACCAAAAUUAAGCAACGUCGAGCUUGGUCAUUACCUAGAUGGGUGACCGCCUGGGAAUAUCAGGUACUGUAAG